GGGCCGUAUUCUAGUCUCUCAGUGAAGAGGAGUGGGCAGUUGUACAGGGGAAGAGCCCCGACAACCCUCUGAGCUUCCAGGUCCUGUUGUCCAGCCAGUGGGUUACCCAGGGGAACUCUUUGCUCUUUUGCCUUCUUCUAGGUCCUGCCUCUGCUACUAGUGUUUGGAAAUGCUCAUUAAUUUUAAUACUAACAUGGGGAAAGCUAAUUAGGAAGGUGAAUCCACUGCAAAAUAAAUUAUCUGAUGCAUUUACAAAGGAAUGAAUUAUCUAUUGUUCAGGAUUGCUCUGCUCCACUCCCCUUCCAUUAGCACAGCUCAGAGCCAGCCGGGUGUGAGCUGCACUUGUUCUUCCACUGUGGGGGCCAGAGGAUGCUGUAGACAAUAAGCAUGAAUAAGCUUCAAGGAGGAAGAGGUCCUGUUAGGCCAGGGCAGACAGAAAGCCUUCAUAGAGCUGGGAAUUGAACUAAUUUUUAGCUGGGGGAGAUAUUCUACAACAUAAUUUGUCAUGACUAUUCAUGAUUCCAUUGUAUAGUUUUUACAAUUUGGUCAAUCACCUAUUGUUGAGUCAAUCCCCUAUUGUUGAACAUCGAAGUUAUUUCUAUUUUUU
RNAcentral lists this long non-coding RNA (607 nucleotides) under Homo sapiens (human). RNAcentral describes it as "HSALNT0212268". Lineage: Eukaryota; Metazoa; Chordata; Mammalia; Primates; Hominidae. The record is from RNAcentral.